AAACUUAAAAGGUAAAAAAUUUAAUUUUUUUUUUGGAAAAACUAAUAAUGAAUGAAUUAAUGGCUAAACAAUUUUAUUAAUUAUAUCUCUUGAACAUUAAGGUUACCAAAUAUUGAUCUAUAAAAAAAAACAAUUCUUAGUUGUGGUAUAAAUGUUAAUUAUAAAGAUGUCUGAUAGGCUUUUCUACAAUACAUAAUUUAAAAAAAAAAGAUCUUUAUUA
Molecule: long non-coding RNA, 220 nt
Filed under: Citrus sinensis (sweet orange)
Lineage: Eukaryota; Viridiplantae; Streptophyta; Magnoliopsida; Sapindales; Rutaceae
Description: long non-coding RNA (CSIN_LNC003519)
Source: RNAcentral